Molecule: ribosomal RNA, 163 nt
Filed under: uncultured bacterium
Lineage: Bacteria
Description: partial 16S ribosomal RNA
Rfam family: Bacterial small subunit ribosomal RNA
Source: RNAcentral
CCUACGGGAGGCAGCAGUGGGGAAUUUUGGACAAUGGGCGCAAGCCUGAUCCAGCCAUUCCGCGUGCAGGAUGAAGGCCCUCGGGUUGUAAACUGCUUUUGUACGGAACGAAACGGCGACCGCUAAUACCGGUUGCUAAUGACGGUACCGUAAGAAUAGGCCC